Molecule: long non-coding RNA, 1396 nt
Organism: Gallus gallus (chicken)
Lineage: Eukaryota; Metazoa; Chordata; Aves; Galliformes; Phasianidae
Source: Ensembl
GACCAUUUAGCAUCUCAUUAAGUGGGCAGUCUGAAGUGUGCUCAGAGAAAACUUAAAUUCUGCUAUUUGGUUUGUAAUUGUGGCCCUAGGCUUGAUAGGAGGUAGUACCAGGGACUCAUCACUAAGUUCUUACCUAAAGAAGACAUCUGUGAGCCUUGAUAACUUCGUUGGCGUCAAGGUGAGAGAACAAGAAGGAAAUAACAGGAAAACUGGCAAGGAAAGCAGUGCGAGGCUGAGGGCAGUACAACCUUGGGAACAUUUUUGAGCUAGACAGGCACGCCAGGGACCUGAUCCAAGGGCCGUUGAAGUCAAAGAGAAUAUACAAAGAUUUCAAUGAGCUUGCAUCAGAAAUCCCACUUCAUGAUAUUUCUGCAUUUGUAAGAUGGCACCAUUUAUUGUUAUCAAGAAAUGUAUUUGAAGAGGAGGAUGUGGGUUAUGAAAUGACAAAUAGGCAAAUAGAAAAUUUUAACUAACGAUAUAGUAUCUAGGAGUAAUAAUUACAGCUAAACUCACUUAGAAAUUGUGUUUCUUUUCCUAUAUAAAAACAGUACAUUUUAAUUCAUGUUUUUUUUUUUCCCCAAUUGUGAAGAAAUGGCAGAGCAAGGAACCUCUUUCCUGGAAGAAAUUUUGAACAACAUUGCAUUUAGAAAAUUAUUAGUUUUUGUUUCUUUGUUAGGAGUGGGUCAAAAGUUAUUUUGUCUCAUCUGUAACAGCACAAUGUGUCUGGAAGUCGCAGCUGCAGUGAACGUUCAUGAGAAAGGCAGCAUGACCAUAAAAUCAGUCCCAUGGAGGAGAGUGCAAGGAGCUUUUAUAUGAAAUACACUUUCUAUUAGCUUAGGCAAAUUUAACUCAAAUUAAAAAAUGUUUUGUUUUCGUUUUGCUUUCCUACCCGGGGGAAAAUUGAAGAGUCAUAACUAAUAACAUUAAACAAUAAGAAACAGCAGUUUUGCAGAAGCCAGAAUUUGUAAUGAAUUAGUUGUUCCUACAAGCAGUAGAACUAAUGAGGUCUAGCUUUCUAUGAGCUUUAUAUCUGAUUGUGUAACACCGAUUUCCCCCUGUAUUCUUUAUAACCCCACACCCUCCCCAAAUCAAUAGCUGUAUCUCCAUUUAGACUACCUGAAUGCUCUCGGUUUCCCUACUCGAUUAGAAAAGCUACCUGUACAAAACCAAUUUGUAUGGAUAUUCAGGAUGACAGAUCGUCCUUUGAAAGUAUUCCUGAACUGCACACUCGAGGAGUGCUGACUGUAGGAGACCUAUGUCAAAUCAAAUAAAGUUGAAGUUGGACAGAUGAUCAAAACUUAUGUAGGAACAACAGAAGCAGAGGUUCUGUCAUAUAGUCUUCUUAAUCUCAUAAACUGUAUGAAGUUUGAGGAACCGAGGUGAAAAAUAGACUUUU